RNAcentral lists this ribosomal RNA (497 nucleotides) under uncultured bacterium. RNAcentral's name for it is "partial 16S ribosomal RNA". It matches the Rfam family "Bacterial small subunit ribosomal RNA", at positions 28 to 507 of the family's 1533-position model. The record is from RNAcentral.
GAUGAACGCUGGCGGCGUGCCUAAUACAUGCAAGUCGAGCGAACGGACGAGAAGCUUGCGUCUCUGAUGUUAGCGGCGGACGGGUGAGUAACACGUGUAUAACCUACCUAUAAUACUGGGAUAACUUCGGGAAACCGGAGCUAAUACCGGAGGAUAUUUUGAACCGCAUGGUUCAAAAGUGAAAUACGGUCUUUCGGUCACGUAUAGAUGGAUUCGCGCUGCAUUAGCUAGUUGGUAAGUUAACGGCUUACCAAGGCAACGAUGCAUAAACGACCGGAGAGGGUGAUAGGCCACAUUAGAACGGAGACACGGUCCAGACUCCUAAGGGAGGCACCAGUCGGGAACGUUCGGCAAUGGGCGAGAGCCUGACGGAGCAACGCCGCGUGAGUGAUGGAGGUCUUCGGAGCGUAAAACUCUGUUACUAGGGAAGAACCUCUGUGUAAGUAACUGUGCACAUAUUGACGGUAACUAAUAAGAAAGCCACGGCUAACUACGUG